CCUGACCCCAUUGUUUCCUUGUUUGCAUGUCUAAGGACAAGUGGAUGAAGCUUGCCAUGGAACAGAAAGGACCAUUCCUGUCAUCCGUUUAAGAAUCCAAUAGGAAGGAGUGUUUUUCUUGUUCUUCAUUUUUUUUUUCUUUUUCCCUCUCUUGUGGUUUUGGCUUUUCAAAAAAAAAAAGAAAAAAAGAAAAACUCGGUUUUCAACAGAUCCAAGAGGUUCAGAUGAGAUGUUCUUUCCUGUCAAACAGGAUCCUAAACCUUUUGAGGUUUCUCAAGGACUUGUCUCUAUAAGCUGAAAAGUCUGUUCUCUUUCUUCACUGUUGCCAGAAAAGUAAUUAGGUCAUUUUUCUAAUUAUAGUAAUCUUCCCCAAAUGGCAUAUAACUUCAAAUCCAAAUACCAUGUAAAUUGGCCAACAACAUUCUGCCGUGAAGCACUUCAUUGAGACAGUUGGGAUGUAGGAGUUUCACCUUGUGGGGAGGAAGAAUGUGCUCUCUGUCCCAGUUACAACCGGUUUUAUUUUUUUCUUUUUUUUUCUUUUUUAGGGCCACUUGUGGCAUAUGGAGGUUCCUAGGCUAGGGUCAAAUCGGAGCUAUAGCUGCCGGCCUACACCACACAGCAACGCCAGGUCUGAACUGCAUCUCUGAUCUACACCACAGCUCAUGGCAAUGGUGGAUCCUUAACCCACUGAGCAAGGCCAGGGAUCAAACCUGCAUCCUCAUGGUUACUAGUCAGGUUCAUUUCUGCUGAACCACAACAGGAGCUCCACAACCAGUUUUCUUUCUCUGUGUCUUGCCCAGGAAGUUCCACUGAAUUAGUGUAAAAAAACUAGGAUGGCAGUUGCUCAUGUCAGUGGCAUUUGGUGGAGAGUUAUGUCUGUGGCAGAGAAAUUAAACUCUUUUUGGAAAACAUGCUUAUUUGCAGGAAAAACUGAACAAGAUUAAAUUAUCCUUAGGUUGUUACACUGAUGAAAAAUCUCUACAGACAGGAAGAGUGAGUUUCCCUGCAUCACACAACCGAGAACCAGAUUUUUCUUCCCCAAGAAGAAUCCUUUUUUCUAUGAUGCUAACUGAGGGGAAAUGAGGUCCUGCUGGUAAAUUUUGUGGUCCAGAUUAUGCUCACAGUUAUUUUUCUUAUUCCAUUUGUCAAAAAACACUUUUGCAAAUGGUAUAUCCUCUAGCUAUUUGGUUUUCAUUGCUUACCCACCCUCUGGCCUUAAUGGAAGGGUUUCUGGAUUGGGAUAAUGGUACUAGAAUUAAGUCUCUAGAACAUGAAACUGGGCCGUGAGAUAAUGAAGAGUAAGAGAGGGUGGAUUCCUCCAGGAGAUGAUAGAGUGACAGGAAAAGGGGAAGGUUAAAAUUGCAUUGGGACUUAAAAACAAAAAUGGAGCCAGCAUUUAAGAAUGCUGCCAGGAUGUGUCACAGUUACUGAGGGUGUGUAGAUGAUGCUUAACUUGGCAGUGCAAACUAAGACCACUUCAUUUCCAUGAAACAGUGCCAUCACACCAUUUCAACCUGGAUGUUGGUGGGGAGGAGAAUGCAUGAGUUGGGUAUUUCCAAGUGUCAGGCCUUUAAAAUUAUUAGAUUCCAAUUUAGUAGCAGCUAUGUUUUUUAAAAAUGCAAAUUUCAAAUUGUUGUUCUAGAAACUGUAUUUUGUAGGUCUGAGGUGGGGCCCUGGAAUACGCAUUUUUGCAAGCUUCUUAGGUGGUUCUUAGACCAAGCUAUUAUUAGCUAUUACCCAACACUAUUAGUUAUUAUAUAUUAUAUAACUAAUUGGUUGUUAGCCAACACUGUUUUUCUGGGAAUUUUAAGGGAUCUAGGCUGGUAGACUUGCUCAGAGCUCUAGAGCAUUGAUAAUACCAUUUGGAACCAAUACCACUGAAGGGAUGCAAAUAAGUGAAUAAUAAUACCUUCUAGGCAAGAGUUGUGGUCAUCCUCCAGUGAGAUGAAUUAGAAAAAAAAAAUUUUCCUUAAAAGCUAUUCAGGGUGGAAUCAUGACCUACUAAAGUGAAAAUUAUGUUGUUGAAAGCCAAGCCAUGGAUUAUUUUAAGGGGCUGGUUAUUUAGAUUUGAGUAGGUAAUAGUAAAGGGGAAUGGAGCUAUAAAUGUUUUUUGGGGGGCUGGAUAUAAAAAUGUACAUUUGAGAAAAGGGUAACAUUUUUCCUUAAGCCUCAUUGAACAGGAAUGUUAGAAAAAUAUUAGUGAGUACUAGCCAUUUCUCAAAGAAAGAGGACUUAAAAAAAAAUCUGUAUUAUCACCACUGUGGAACAUCACUGUACCAUACACAUUUCCUAGGCCAUUGUUUGAAUUCUGCUGUGGGCUCCUCGUAACUUCAGGAUAAUUUCUCUUGUGGAUUAUUUACUGGAAGUACCUUACAAAGCCAAACAGGUUAAGAUUGCUCUUAGCAAGACAUGGAAUCGAAAUUUCUUGAUUUCAUAGACAAAAAAAAAAAAAAUGCAGGCAAAGGAAUCUUGGAUUUAUUUAAAUUUGAAAUAUGGUUUUGUAUAAAAAUUAACUCCUCCAACCACCAUGUCUUAUAACAUGUUUGUCUAGUCACUUGUAUAUUCCUCUGUGGUAGAAACUCUUCAUGAAGCUUCCUUUGCUGGCCAUACUUUUACAUUCAGAAGCACCCUUGUGAAAAGUCAGUGUUUGAAAGGGGAAUAUAACCUCAUAGUAAAAAUACUACUGAAUCCUGGGCACCUACUGCUUCCAAUAAUUUUCCAACCCCUACUUAUCAAAGCCUCAUUAAUCAUCAGAAUACUUCAGUAAGGCUGAUGAAUUUUUGAAUAGCAUAAUUGUAUUCUCCCAUAAACACAUCAAAUAAGCCAUCUACAUGUUGAAUGACUUGUACAGAACAUCUACUGAAGGCUAGAAGAAGACCUUAAACCUCCAAAAAGGACAAGAAACCCUUCACAUAACUGUGUAGAACAAAAGGUGGGAAAAAAGCAGGAAAAAAAAAGGAAUCAGGGUUGAAUCCACACUCCUGAGAGGGAGCUGUGAAAGAGGAAAGGAAUCCUUACCCUGUGAGACCACCUAAAUGAUGGGGAGAUAAGCUGAGAUGGAGAGGGAACCUCAAAGCCUUGGAGAAAGGCACAGCAGCCUGACUGAGGAGGGCGAAGCAGAGAGAGCCACACAAACCAUCACUACCACACCCAGACACCACAACCUGAGGUGCUCAGGCAGGGGCUGAGCACUGAGACUCAGGCUCCAGAGGUUAGUUCUGGGGAGAAGACUAGGGUUGGCUGUGUGGAGACAGCCUGAGGGGCUAGGGAGCCAGGGCACCAUGGGCUGGGGUGUGGAGUGCCCCCUCCUAGGGAAACCAGGAGGAGGCCUGGUCCUGCAGGAGAAGCAAGGCGCCAUUGUUGGGGAGGGAGAGAGGAGGAGGGUUGGGAUCACCAUAGGAAUAUCUUUCCCUGGGCAUGCAUGGGCUCCUGGGUGGCAGGGAACCUCUUGCAUAAGGUAUGGGUGGUGGAGGCAAAUCACCAUGGCCAUCUCAGACUGCGGAGGUGGGCAUGGCCUACCACCACUGGGGUCUAUGAACAGGCACCACCCAUGGCCCCAGUCACCUCUGGGGUCAGCAAAGAGGAGGGUACUGCAACUGAGGGCUACCCGUUGUGGCUCUCACUCACUUGGGAAUGCACAGUCCUGCUGCUGCCACUGCCAAAUGAUCCAGCUGCCUCCUACACCUGCCUGAGGGUCAUUGCCACUUCCAAGGGGCCUGCAAACAGGAGCAGCCUGAGACACCUCCCUGCCGGUCCUUGCCACUGUUAAGGGCCCAGCAACCAGACACUGGCUACUAGCCUUGUCCAUUGCCUCCAUCUCCCUGGAAGCAACCACAGCUUGUAUACCAGCACACCCCAUAUUAAGGGGAUAACAGCCUGUACACACUGAGGAAGGAGACAGCAAACAUCCAAAGCAGCCCUCAUGCCAAAAAAUAAUAAUUAGCACUCAUAAGCUACCCAGGGGUUCUCUUGCAUAUAAAUAGUGCUCCAAGACUAUAGGAGUUGUUUUCCCUAAAUUCACGAAAUAAGAAAAAUAUAAGAAAAAUGAAGAAGCUCAGGAACCAUUCCCAGUUAAAAGAACAAGACAAAUACCCCAAAGGGGCAAACAAUGAAGCAGACCUCUGCAGCUGCAGCCUUAACAGACACUGAGUUCAAAAAGGAGAUAGUGAAAAUAAUGAAGGGAAUUAAGAGCAGAUAUGAUCAGUUAGGCAAAUUACUUUAAAAAGAAACUAGAAAAUACAAGGAGGAGCCAAGAAAAAUUAGAAAAUGCAUUUGCAGAGACACAAGCUGAUUAAAGGCACUGAAGAGCAGAAUGAAUAAUGCAGAGGAACAAAUGAGUGAGCUAGUUGGAAGAUAGAAUAAUGGAAAUCACUCAAUCAGGACAGCAGAUGGAAAACUAACUGGCAAAACAUGAAAGCAAUAUAAGACAUCUAUGGGAUAAGAUAAAGUAGGCCAAUCUACACAUAAUAGUGAUUCUAAAAGAAAAAAAGGGGGUUGAAAAAAUAUAUUUGAAGAAACUAUGGCUGAAAACAUUCCAAAUCUAAAGGAAACAGCAAGAUUCAGGAAGCACAGAAGGCCCCAAACAAGUUGAACCCAAAUAGACCCACACCAAGACAGUAAAAAUGGCAAAAGUUAAAGAUAAGGAGAGGAUUCUAAAGGCAGCAAGAGAAAAACAAACAUCUAAUUAUAUGGGAACUCCCAUAAGGCUAUCAGAUGAUUUCUCUACAGAAACACUGCAGGCCAGAAGAGAAUGGCAAGAUAUAUUCAAAGUUCCAAAAGGGAAAAAUUGCAGCCUGGAAUACUCUAUUUGGCAAGAAUAUCAUUUAAAGUAGAAGGAGAAAGAAAGAAUUGCCCCAAACAGAUAAAAGAAUACAGCAACACUAAACUCAUUCCAAAAGAAAUAGCAAAAAUUCUUCUCUAACUAGGAAAGAAGUAAGAAGAUACAGAAUGGAGGAAAUCACAAUUGGAAAGUAAUCAAUUAAAUGAGCCAGUAUAGAGAACUAAAAAAACAAAACAAAACAAAAACCUAUUUGUAAAAGCAAUGAUAAACACAAGGAACAGUGAAAGGAUAAACAUGAUGUAAAAGAGGGACAUCAAAAUCAUAAAAUGUGAAGAAAAGUAAGAAAAUUUAGACUUUUUUUCAAAUGUGUUUGAGCCUAUGUGACUGUCAGGCUAAAGCAAGCAAAUAUAGGAAGGGGUUAACAUACUUGAAAAACAGGGAAGCCACAAAUCAAAACCAAACAAUACAUUCACAAAAAACUAAAAAGAGGACAUGAACAUAAAAUGAAAUUAUCCAUCCAAAAAAAGAAAGGAAAAGGAACAAGGUUUAAAAUGGCAACAAAUACAUAUUUAUCAAAAUUACCUUAAAUGUCAAUAGCCUGAAUGCUCCAAUUAAAAGACAUAGAGUGGCAGAAACUCAAUAAAAAGACAAGAGCCUACAAUAUGCUGACCACAAGAGACUCACCUUAGGGCAAAGGACACACCUAAGUUGAAAGUGAGGGGAUUGGAAAAAGAUAUUUCAUGUGAAUGGAAAAGACAGGAAAGUGGGAGUUGCUAUAGUCAUAUCAGACAAAAUGGAUUUUAAAAAAAGGUCAUAAAGACAAGGACAUAAUUUAAUAAUAGUAUCCAUUCAAGAAGAGAAUAUUAUACUCAUCAAUAUAUAUGCCCCUAAUAUAGGAGCACCCAGAUACAUACAACAAAUACUAAGAGACAUAAAAGGAGAAAUUAAUGGGAAUACAAUAAUAGUAAGAGACUUCAACACUGCACCUACAUCAGUGGACAGAUCCUCUUGACCAAAAAUCAAUAAGGCAACAGAGAUCCUAAAUCACACAAAAGAAACAUUAGAUUUAAUUGAUAUUUUCAGGACAUUAACUCCAAAAAAUCAGAGUAUACAUUCUUUUCAAGUGUGCAUGGAACAUUCUCAGGGAUUGACCACAUACUGGAGCACAAAACUAACCUUAACAAAUUUAAGAGUAUAGAAAUUAUUUCACACAUCUUCUCUGACCACAAUGGCAUGAAACUGAAAUGAACAUCAAGAAAAGAAAUGAGAACAAACAGACUACAUGAAGAUUAAACAACAUGCUACCAAAAAAACCCAAUGGGUCAAUGAGGAAAUCAAAAGGGAAAUUAAAAAAAUACCUUGGAGUUCCUGUCAUGGCUUAGCAGUUAAAGAACCCGACUAGCAUCCAUGAGGAUGUGGGUUAAGGAUCCAGCAUUGCUGUAAGCUGUGGUGUAGGUUGCAGAGAUGGCUUGGAUCCCAUGUUGCUGUGGCCCUGGUGUAGGCUGGUGGCGACAGCUCUGAUUUGAUCUCCAGCCUGGGAACCUCCAUAUGCCAUGGGUGCAUCCCUA
Molecule: long non-coding RNA, 6348 nt
Filed under: Sus scrofa (pig)
Lineage: Eukaryota; Metazoa; Chordata; Mammalia; Artiodactyla; Suidae
Description: lncRNA (ENSSSCG00000058415.1)
Source: RNAcentral